UACGAAGGGGGCUAGCGUUGUUCGGAAUCACUGGGCGUAAAGGGCGCGUAGGCGGCCUGAUAAGUAGGGGGUGAAAUCCUGUGGCUUAACUGCAGGGCUGCCUCCUAGACUGUUAGGCUCGAGCACGGUAGAGGCAGAUGGAAUUCCCGGUGUAGCGGUGGAAUGCGUAGAGAUCGGGAAGAACAUCGGUGGCGAAGGCGGUCUGCUGGGCCGUUGCUGACGCUGAGGCGCGACAGCGUGGGGAGCAAACAGG
Molecule: ribosomal RNA, 253 nt
Filed under: uncultured bacterium
Lineage: Bacteria
Description: partial 16S ribosomal RNA
Rfam family: Bacterial small subunit ribosomal RNA
Source: RNAcentral